AAACGCAAAAUUUUAGCCAAACCAAGUAAAAUACUUCACCCCCAUAAACACACAGAAUUUCACACUCAUGCCUUUACCAUGCGGGUGAAGAUGGUGUGUGGUCGUCUCUGUGUUGUUAAAAUGGGUUUGAAUAUCCUUUAGCUAUGGAUAUGCGUUUGAUGGAUCUGAGUUUGCUGAAUGGGUUUGAUGGAUCUAAGUUUGUUGGAUCUGGGUGGGUUCGAUAGAUCUGGGUUUGUUAUCGGUAAGAUCUGUUUAUCUAAUAACAACUCUAUCUUCUACCUUUUUAUCUCGUUUACCGAUUUUUUAGAAAAUUCCCUCCCUCCCUGUUUGUCUCAAUUUAUAGGGAAACGACUAAUGUUUUCAUUCAUCGUACAAAUACAUGUUCUGGAUUUUGUAUUGUUACUCCAAGA
Molecule: long non-coding RNA, 410 nt
Filed under: Cicer arietinum (chickpea)
Lineage: Eukaryota; Viridiplantae; Streptophyta; Magnoliopsida; Fabales; Fabaceae
Description: long non-coding RNA (CARI_LNC001068)
Source: RNAcentral